GAAAUUCUUUAGCAGGCUGCCUUUAGACUUUAUCUGCAACAUUGGCUCUUCUUGGCUUGCCAGUGGACUGACUUUGGAACUAAAUUGCAACUGUUUCCCGAGUAUCCAAUGUGUUGAUCUCCUCCAUCGGAUUUUGGACUCACCGAGCCUCCACAAUCAUGUCAAAAAGCUAAUAUGUUUGAGAACCAUCUAUUUAAAGAACAGCAAGUUUGGACCAACAAUAAAGACCAACGGUGAAAGCAGGCAGCCCCAGAAUAACUAGAAAAUGCCAAAAGGAGGACCUUUUACUCACAAAUAUCAAACCAUUUGACAGACACUUUCAACACUAGAUUUGCGUUUUUUAAAUAACUUUUUUUAGGCCUUAAGACUUAUCCAUAACAACUCAAGGAUUUCCUACAGAAGGACAUAACCAGGGCUGUCAUUCAACCACGACUCACAGGCUAGUGACAUCAGCUGGCAAUACAUCUUUCAGCUUUGCUGGGGACAUUAUAAUUGCCAGAAGUUCAUGAAAUAGCAGUUGUUAAAUAUUUUGAAUAUCUCUCCUAAGCCUAUAAAUCCUGGAGAAAUAGGUAUACCUUAUCAAAAAGAUAUUGUUAAUCCAAAGUGAUACAUGGUAUAAAAAAGUAUUCACAUUUGGCUUUGAAGUGUAUUUUUGUACUAACAUUUGAAUGUGUGUCUGAUGUUCUGAGAAAUUACUUCAAAGAGAUUAAUGAAGCCAUACAGUGAAGACCUGACUCAGGAAAGCUGGGAAAUUGUCCAGCUUUUUCUUCAUUCUGUUACCCUGCCGAACUCCUCUUUGACACCCACUCUCUGACACCAACAAGGAAUAGCUAAAAUAUCUUUUAGAAUAAUGUCAAUCCUUCCUUAUAGAAUGGAAGAUGGCAGUUUGAAUACUACAGACUUUUUUUGUUACAGCAGGCAAUGCAGAUUUUUAAAAUGCAUCUAUAAUCUAUCUUUGUUGAUUAUAUCUUUAUUAUGCACUUUCCUUUCAUCCUUUUGAAAGGAAAAGGAUGGUUUUAUUUAGAGAUCCUAGUGCUUUCAGGAAAACUGGGUUCCAUCUCAGCUUCAGGUGCGGAAAAUGUGACCUGGGCAUCCUCCAAGCUUCAAGUGUGAGAAAUGUGACCUUGACACAGUACAUCCCAUUUCCUUCAUCACAGUCAUUGGGUUCAGACCUUAAUAUUCAUCCUAAGCUUGUUUAAUAAGAGUGAAUCCCAGAAUUAUUGAAGGAUUGCAUCUAAGCUCUCUUUCUUUGGAUGAUGUCUUAUAUAGAUAUGAAGCUUAGGCCUGCUGCAGUCAUUUUAAUAUAGUUAUCGUGAAGAUAAACCAAUGUAAGAAGAUGCACAGAGAGAUACAGAGCUGGAUCUCUCAGGAUACUGUAAACCUCUCCAUGAAAUCAUGCCUGAGCCCUUCCCCGUCCAUUAACACAUGCACUUAACCAAAUAUUUUCUUCAUUUUUUAAGUCAAUUAAAGUUGAGUUCUCUGUUGUUUGCAAUUUAUGGCCUCCUAAUUGAAACAGUAAGUCAACAAACAGAUCAUUAAACUGAUUAGGAACUGUCAAUUAUGUGACGAUAUAAAUGCUGCCAAUUAAUAUGAAAGAAAAUUUCACCACAGAUAAUGACAAGUUGAUAGACACAUUUGCCUCUCUCUGUGUUGUGUCUUUCUCUGUCUCUCUCUCUCGGCAUGUAUACGCAGGCACACACACACAUAUCACCAAUCUAUGUUGCCUGCUAUAUUUUAAUUCAGCUGAGCUAUAUAUUUUCAAAAAUUAAAUGAUAAAAAAAUAAAAGUAAUCUCUAUGUUAUGAGCUAAAGUCUACUUGAUCCUGGAAGAGUAGCCUGUGAGAAGGCCAGUAUAUAUCAAAUAUCAGAAUGUUCGGCUCCAAAAGUUCCAGUAGCUUAAGCUUCUGUGCUUUAAUCAGAUGUAGACUGUAUGUUUUUGUACAAAGAAGUAAAUAAAUUUGACUAGAAGAAGGAUAACCAGAAAUGGUACUAGUAAUAAAUGAAAAU
This 2006-nucleotide long non-coding RNA is filed under the name Homo sapiens (human). Its description in RNAcentral is "HSALNT0306621". The record is from RNAcentral. Lineage: Eukaryota; Metazoa; Chordata; Mammalia; Primates; Hominidae.